UGGCAGGGAAGAUGGACCGUGUUUAA
This 26-nucleotide non-coding RNA is filed under the name Homo sapiens (human). The record is from RNAcentral. Lineage: Eukaryota; Metazoa; Chordata; Mammalia; Primates; Hominidae.